UUAAAAAAAAUAGUACUACCCAUAAAACUUUGGGUGAGGCCAAAAGACACUUUUUACUUUUUUUAAUUAAAAUUAAUUAGUCUUUUAGCUGACCUAAACACAUUAAUUAAAUUAAUUUUUUAUUCUAAUUUUAAAAAAAAUUCAUUGUACAAAUAUGGGGUCUAAACGGAAGCCCAAAGUUGAUAUGUGUGUUACUGUUACUGUAAACUACAGCAUAGCCAGUAUACCUGCACGUAUUAGGUAUAAAAUAUGCGUGGGCUAACAUUACUACCUCAGGGGAGACGUGGGUGUGACUGAAACGCAUGACUGUCCGAUUGGUUUACGGUUUUACGUUUGCGUUUUGUUGUAUUCCAAGGGAUACGAGAAGGACGCGUCCUCGUAGGCGGUUCACGGCGACCAACACCACAAGCAAGAGUUAUCUUCAAUGCCUAGUUUGACUUCUUUAGAUUAUCAUUUUUUAUUUUACUUUACAUCUUGUUUUUUUUUUUUUUCUUCAUAUUAUGCUUAUGCUUAAAGCUUCUGCUUGGUUUAACACAUUGACAAAGUUCUUAUUUGGAUGUUUAAAACAAGUAAAGGGACCGGACGUUGUGUAGGUGCUGCUUCUUAUGGUUGAUGAUGGGCGUUGAAAAGAAAUCUGGAAUGUAUAAUAAAUGAAAUUAAUGAGAAAAAAAUUGUGUGCGAAGAGAAGUAUAUAUACUAAAACUGAAUUUAUUAAAUUAUAUAUACAUAUAUAUUUCUCAUUAUGUUAAAUUAAAUUUGUUAACAAAAAUGUUGAAGAUUCUCUUUGAAGCUAAUUGGCAUGACCAAUUUUGAUUU
Molecule: long non-coding RNA, 816 nt
Organism: Cotesia glomerata
Lineage: Eukaryota; Metazoa; Arthropoda; Insecta; Hymenoptera; Braconidae
Exons: 2
Source: RefSeq, a predicted model, not a curated record